AUACGUAGGGGGCGAGCGUAGUCCGGAAUGAUUGGGCGUAAAGGGCGCGUAGGAGGCCCGGUAAGCCUGGAGUGAAAGUCCUGUUUUUAAGAUGGGAUUUGCUUUGGAUACUGUCGGGCUUGAGUGCAUGAGAGGUAAGGGGAAUUCCCAGUGUAGCGGAGAAAUGCGUAGAGAUUGGGAGGAACACCAGUGCCGAAGACGACUUACUGGACUGUAACUGACGCUGAGGCGCGAAAGUGUGGGGAGCAAACAGGAUUAUAUACCCUGGUAGUCCACACUGUAAACGAUGAAUGCUAGGUGUAGGGGGUAUCGACCCCUUCUGUGCCGCAGUCAACACAAUAAGCACUCCGCCUGGGGAGUACGGCCGCAAGGUUGAAACUCAAAGGAAUUGACGGGG
This 397-nucleotide ribosomal RNA is filed under the name uncultured bacterium. Its description in RNAcentral is "partial 16S ribosomal RNA". It matches the Rfam family "Bacterial small subunit ribosomal RNA", at positions 523 to 918 of the family's 1533-position model. The record is from RNAcentral.